This 465-nucleotide ribosomal RNA is filed under the name uncultured bacterium. RNAcentral describes it as "partial 16S ribosomal RNA". It matches the Rfam family "Bacterial small subunit ribosomal RNA", at positions 28 to 507 of the family's 1533-position model. The record is from RNAcentral.
GACGAACGCUGGCGGCGUGCUUAACACAUGCAAGUCGAACGGAAAGGCCCUGCUUGCAGGGUACUCGAGUGGCGAACGGGUGAGUAACACGUGGGUGAUCUGCCCUGCACUUCGGGAUAAGCCUGGGAAACUGGGUCUAAUACCGGCUAGGAGCCAUUUUUAGUGUGAUGGUUGGAAAGUUUUUUCGGUGUAGGAUGAGCUCGCGGCCUAUCAGCUUGUUGGUGGGGUAAUGGCCUACCAAGGCGGCGACGGGUAGCCGGCCUGAGAGGGUGGACGGCCACAUUGGGAAUGAGAUACGGCCCAGAAUCCUACGGGAGGAAGCAGUGGGGAAUGUUGCACAAUGGGCGCAAGCCUGAUGCAACGACGCCGCGUGGGGGAUGACUGCCUUCGGGUUGUAAACUCCUUUCGCGAGGGACGAAGCUUUUUGUGACGGUACCUAGAUAAGAAGCACCGGCUAACUACGUG